This 1209-nucleotide ribosomal RNA is filed under the name Dicyema sp. L2 DS-2016. RNAcentral's name for it is "SSU rRNA". It matches the Rfam family "Eukaryotic small subunit ribosomal RNA", at positions 296 to 1609 of the family's 1831-position model. The record is from RNAcentral. Lineage: Eukaryota; Metazoa; Dicyemida; Rhombozoa; Dicyemidae.
UAAUUAGAUGUCCGCCCCAUCAAUUGCGAUGGUAAGGUAGUGGCUUACCAUGGUUGCAACGGGUAACGGGGAAUCAGGGUUCGAUUCCGGAGAGGGAGCAUGAGAAACGGCUGCCAGAUCUAUGGAUUGCAGCAGGUGCGAAAAUUAUCCACUUUUGGCAUAAAGAGAUAGUGAUGAUAAAUAACGGAUCUGGGCAUUUGUUCAGAGAUCGUAAUGAAAUAAUCGUAAAAGCUUUAUUGAAAGCAAUUGGAGGGCAAGUCUGGUGCCAGCAGCCGCGGCAAUUCCAGUUCCAAUAGUGUAUACUAAAGUUGCUGCAGUUGAAAAGCUCGUAGUUGGAUCUCGGUUUGCUGGCGCACAAGGUGCGCAAGUAGGCCUGUGCUGUAGUUGAGUGCUACGGCUUUACCUUGAACAAAAUAGAGUGCUUAAGGCAAGCAUUCUGCUUGAAUAUCUCAGCAUGGAAUAAUAGAAAAAGACUUUCUAUUGGUUAGCCAGUGAAAGUAAUGAUUAACAGAGACAGACGGGGGCAUUCGUAUUGCACCGCUAGAGGUGAAAUUCGUAGACCGGUGCAGGACGAACUACAGCGAAAGCAUUUGCCAAGGAUGUUUUCAUUAAUCAAGAACGACAGUUGGAGUAUCGAAGUCGAUUAGAUCUCGUCGUAGUUCCAACUAUAAACGAUGCCAACUAGCACUCCGCUAAUAAUGUUUGUUACAUUAGCGGGUGGCUUCCGGGAAACCAAAGUCUUUGGGCUCCGGGGGAAGUAUGGUUGCAAAGCUGAAACUUAAAGGAAUUGACGGAAGGGCACCACCAGGAGUGGAGCCUGCGGCUCAAUUUGACUCAACACAGAAAAACUCACCCGGGCCGAACACAGUAAGGAUUGACAGAUUGAUAGCUUUUUCUUGAUACUGUGGGUAGUGGUGCAUGGCCGUUGUUGGUUGGUGGAGUGAUCUGUCUGGUUAAUUCCGAUAACGAACGAGACUCAAGCCUGCUUAUAAGUUGGUCGAUUCUGGUCGAACAACUACUUAGAGGGAUCAGUGUAUAAAACACUUGAAAAUGAGCAAUAACAGGUCUGUGAUUGCCCUUAGACGUUCGGGGCUGCACGCGCGCUACAAUGAAGAAAGCAGUGGGUGACUUGCUUGAGAAGGCAAGCCAAACCUAAAAUUCUCGGCGUCGCAGGAAUCGAGGCUUGUAAUUAUUCCUCGUGCACAAGGA